UUUUCAUAAAUCACUGACUAUUUAAAACAAACACCCGCAAAAACAAUUGUGAAUGACUGCUUACAAAAUCACAAUAUUUUCUUUAAGCAAUUAUCGAGCGAAUAAAAUGGGCAGAAAAAAACAAAACCAGGAGAAAAGGGGACGAGGGCAAGAGAAGGGUACUCGGAUGCAGUUUUCCGUCAUGCGAACGGCAUCCGGGCUUUCCGAUGGCAAUUCCUCCGCGGCGGAGCACAGGAGCCUCUGGUUCCGUUGUAUCCGGCCGUGAACUAACGGCGUUAUCCGGCGGAGCAGAGAUCUUGACAUCGCCCUUCUUCUCUUAUCCUCCUCUUCCUUCCCUUCCUCUAUGUCCCUAACUCGCAGGCGCAUGCGAAGCUUUUCUCGCUAUCCCUCUCGCUCGCAGCGUGGAACGAUGCAAGCCCUUCUAGCUAGGGCUCUCAACGGGCCGAGCUGCUCGGGCACGGCUCGG
Molecule: long non-coding RNA, 466 nt
Filed under: Phoenix dactylifera (date palm)
Lineage: Eukaryota; Viridiplantae; Streptophyta; Magnoliopsida; Arecales; Arecaceae
Description: long non-coding RNA (PDAC_LNC016047)
Source: RNAcentral